RNAcentral lists this transfer RNA (72 nucleotides) under Ovis aries (sheep). It matches the Rfam family "tRNA". From Rfam's summary of the family: Transfer RNA (tRNA) molecules are approximately 80 nucleotides in length. The record is from Rfam by way of RNAcentral. Lineage: Eukaryota; Metazoa; Chordata; Mammalia; Artiodactyla; Bovidae.
UCCCUAGUGGCUCAGACAGUAAAGUACCUGCUUGCAAUGCAGGAGACCCAGGUUCCAUUGCUGGGUCGGGAA